AUCUUUCAACUGAAGAACUAUUAAAACUAUGUAAUGAUGGUGUUAAAAUUCUUCUUAAAAAUAUUAAAGACCAUAAUUUACAUGAACUGAAGAAGAAAAUAGAACUAGAAGGAUUUCAGGAACAAUUAAAACCAGUAAUAGUUUCAGACAUUAAACUUAGAAAAGAAUUAUCAGUUAAGAAUCCUUCAUUGAGUGAUAACGAUGAAAAUCUUGAAGAGUGUCGCGCAUCCAUAAAGGAAGCAGCAAAAAAAUUUGUGGAAAUAAAUACAAAGAAUAAGAGUGAACAAAUACAAAUAAUUCAGUUAUAAAUAACUUCUGAUCUUAUAAAUAAUGCAUCUUAUGUGUUAUGUUAUUAAAAUUAAUUUUCUGUUUCAAAUAUCCAUAAUAUUGAAAAAAAUAAAACAUUUAUGUAUAAUAAAUAAAUUAUUUAUCAUGGCUUUAUUAAAUUUACAUCAUCUGCAGCUUUCUGUUUUAAGUUGUGUAAUUCUUCAUUAAGUUCAUUCUUUAAC
Molecule: long non-coding RNA, 509 nt
Organism: Centruroides sculpturatus (bark scorpion)
Lineage: Eukaryota; Metazoa; Arthropoda; Arachnida; Scorpiones; Buthidae
Exons: 3
Source: RefSeq, a predicted model, not a curated record